GACGAACGCUGGCGGCGUGCCUAAUACAUGCAAGUAGAACGCUGAAGGAGGAGCUUGCUUCUCCGGACGAUUUGCGAACGGGUGAGUAACGCGUAGGUAACCUGCCUGGUAGCGGGGGAUAACUCUUGGAAACGAUAGCUAAUACCGCAUAUGAGUAGAUGUCGCAUGACAUUUGCUUAAAAGGUGCAACUGUACCACUACCAGAUGGACCUGCGUUGUAUUAGGUAGUUGGUGAGGUAAAGGCUCAAUAAGGCAACGAAACAUAGCCGGCCUGGGAGGGGGAUCAGCCACACUGGGACUGGGAAACGGCCCAAGCUCCUUAGGGGGGGAACAGGAGGGGAACUUCGGGAAUGGGCGGAAGGCUGGACGGGGAACGCCGGGGGGGGGAAGGAAGUUUUCGGGUCGGAAAGCUCUGUUGUAAGGGAAGAACGAGAGGGGGAGUGGAAAGUUCACGCUGUGACGGUACCUUAUCAGAAAGCGACGGCUAACUACGUG
Molecule: ribosomal RNA, 495 nt
Filed under: uncultured bacterium
Lineage: Bacteria
Description: partial 16S ribosomal RNA
Rfam family: Bacterial small subunit ribosomal RNA
Source: RNAcentral